Molecule: ribosomal RNA, 913 nt
Filed under: uncultured bacterium
Lineage: Bacteria
Description: bacterial SSU rRNA
Rfam family: Bacterial small subunit ribosomal RNA
Source: RNAcentral
AGAGUUUGAUUAUGGCUCAGAUUGAACGCUGGCGGCAGGCCUAACACAUGCAAGUCGAGCGGUAGAGAGAAGCUUGCUUCUCUUGAGAGCGGCGGACGGGUGAGUAAUGCCUAGGAAUCUGCCUGGUAGUGGGGGAUAACGUUCGGAAACGGACGCUAAUACCGCAUACGUCCUACGGGAGAAAGCAGGGGACCUUCGGGCCUUGCGCUAUCAGAUGAGCCUAGGUCGGAUUAGCUAGUUGGUGAGGUAAUGGCUCACCAAGGCGACGAUCCGUAACUGGUCUGAGAGGAUGAUCAGUCACACUGGAACUGAGACACGGUCCAGACUCCUACGGGAGGCAGCAGUGGGGAAUAUUGGACAAUGGGCGAAAGCCUGAUCCAGCCAUGCCGCGUGUGUGAAGAAGGUCUUCGGAUUGUAAAGCACUUUAAGUUGGGAGGAAGGGCAGUUACCUAAUACGUGAUUGUUUUGACGUUACCGACAGAAUAAGCACCGGCUAACUCUGUGCCAGCAGCCGCGGUAAUACAGAGGGUGCAAGCGUUAAUCGGAAUUACUGGGCGUAAAGCGCGCGUAGGUGGUUAGUUAAGUUGGAUGUGAAAUCCCCGGGCUCAACCUGGGAACUGCAUUCAAAACUGACUGACUAGAGUAUGGUAGAGGGUGGUGGAAUUUCCUGUGUAGCGGUGAAAUGCGUAGAUGUAGGAAGGAACACCAGUGGCGAAGGCGACCACCUGGACUGAUACUGACACUGACGUGCGAAAGCGUGAGGAGCAAACAGGAUUAGAUACCCUGGUAGUCCACGCCGUAAACGAUGUCAACUAGCCCUUGGGAGCCUUGAGCUCUUAGUGGCGCAGCUAACGCAUUAAGUUGACCGCCUGGGGAGUACGGCCGCAAGGUUAAAACUCAAAUGAAUUGACGG